This 226-nucleotide long non-coding RNA is filed under the name Mytilus galloprovincialis (Mediterranean mussel). The record is from RNAcentral. Lineage: Eukaryota; Metazoa; Mollusca; Bivalvia; Mytilida; Mytilidae.
UAUGUCGAAGCCAAAUGAAGAAAAAGCGAACUAUGCACGAAUUAAUAGACUUCUACAAAAAGCUGCAACUCCAGCAGUUAGACAUGAGUUUGAUCAACAAUUUCACCCCAGUGUAUUAAAAUCAACCCUGAACAAAAGUCGCAUUAGAUUAGAACAAUUGAGAAAGCAAAGAGUCAUCAACCAGUAUCAGUGGACUUUGUUAUUUCCUAGGAAUGGUAAGAUAUGC